Long non-coding RNA from Oncorhynchus keta (chum salmon), 1240 nucleotides. RefSeq lists it as uncharacterized. The record is from RefSeq and is a predicted model, not a curated record. The transcript has 4 exons. Lineage: Eukaryota; Metazoa; Chordata; Actinopteri; Salmoniformes; Salmonidae.
ACUGCAGUAUAACAGUCUCAUAGCCACAGUACUGUAGUAUAACAAGGUACAGUCUCAUAGCCACAGUACUGCAGUAUAACAAGGUACAGUCUCAUAGCCACAGUACUGUAGUAUAACAAGGUACAGUCUCAUAGCCACAGUACUGCAGUAUAACAAGGUACAGUCUCAUAGCCACAGUACUGCAGUAUAACAAGGUACAGUCUCAUAGCCACAGUACUGCAGUAUAACAGUCUCAUAGCCACAGUACUGUAGUAUAACAAGGUACAGUCUCAUAGCCACAGUACUGUAGUAUAACAAGGUACAGUCUCAUAGCCACAGUACUGCAGUAUAACAAGGUACAGUCUCAUAGCCACAGUACUGCAGUAUAACAGUCUCAUAGCCACAGUACUGUAGUAUAACAAGGUACAGUCUCAUAGCCACAGUACUGCAGUAUAACAAGGUACAGUCUCAUAGCCACAGUACUGCAGUAUAACAAGGUACAGUCUCAUAGCCACAGUACUGCAGUAUAACAGUCUCAUAGCCACAGUACUGCAGUAUAACAAGGUACAGUCUCAUAGCCACAGUACUGCAGUAUAACAAGGUACAGUCUCAUAGCCACAGUACUGCAGUAUAACAAGGUACAGUCUCAUAGCCACAGUACUGUAGUAUAACAGUCUCAUAGCCACAGUACUGCAGUAUAACAAGGUACAGUCUCAUAGCCACAGUACUGCAGUAUAACAGUCUCAUAGCCACAGUACUGUAGUAUAACAAGGUACAGUCUCAUAGCCACAGUACUGUAGUAUAACAAGGUACAGUCUCAUAGCCACAGUACUGCAGUAUAACAAGGUACAGUCUCAUAGCCACAGUACUGCAGUAUAACAAGGUACAGUCUCAUAGCCACAGUACUGCAGUAUAACAGUCUCAUAGCCACAGUACUGUAGUAUAACAAGGUACAGUCUCAUAGCCACAGUACUGUAGUAUAACAAGGUACAGUCUCAUAGCCACAGUACUGUAGUAUAACAAGGUACAGUCUCAUAGCCACAGUACUGCAGUAUAACAGUCUCAUAGCCACAGUACUGCAGUAUAACAGUCUCAUAGCCACAGUACUGCAGUAUUACAGUCUCAUAGCCACAGUACUGUAGUAUAACAGCCUCAUAGCCACAGUACUGCAGUAUAACAGUCUCAUAGCCACAGUACUGCAGUAUAACAGUCUCAUAGCCACAGUACUGCAGUCACUGCAGGUGAAGUAUUGAAAGAUAAA